AGCGGCGGACGGGUGAGUAAUGCUUGGGAAUAUGCCUUAUGGUGGGGGACAACAGUUGGAAACGACUGCUAAUACCGCAUAACGUCUACGGACCAAAGGAGGGGAUUCUUCGGAACCUCGCCAUUUGAUUAGCCCAAGUGAGAUUAGCUAGUAGGUGAGGUAAGAGCUCACCUAGGCGACGAUCUCUAGCUGGUUUGAGAGGAUGAUCAGCCACACUGGGACUGAGACACGGCCCAGACUCCUACGGGAGGCAGCAGUGGGGAAUAUUGCACAAUGGGGGAAACCCUGAUGCAGCCAUGCCGCGUGUGUGAAGAAGGCCUUCGGGUUGUAAAGCACUUUCAGUUGUGAGGAAAGGGAUGUAGUUAAUAACUGCAUUCUGUGACGUUAACAACAGAAGAAGCACCGGCUAACUUCGUGCCAGCAGCCGCGGUAAUACGAGGGGUGCAAGCGUUAAUCGGAAUUACUGGGCGUAAAGCGUUCGUAGGCGGUUAUUUAAGCAAGAUGUGAAAGCCCAGGGCUCAACCUUGGAACUGCAUUUUGAACUGGGUAACUAGAGUACUGUAGAGGGUGGGGGAAUUUCCAGUGUAGCGGUGAAAUGCGUAGAGAUUGGAAGGACAUCAGUGGGCGACGCGCCACCUGGACAGAUACUGACGCUGAGACCGAAGCGUGUGAAGCGACAGGAUUAGAUACCCCUUUG
RNAcentral lists this ribosomal RNA (697 nucleotides) under uncultured bacterium. Its description in RNAcentral is "bacterial SSU rRNA". It matches the Rfam family "Bacterial small subunit ribosomal RNA", at positions 94 to 792 of the family's 1533-position model. The record is from RNAcentral.